This 2318-nucleotide long non-coding RNA is filed under the name Podarcis lilfordi (Lilford's wall lizard). The record is from RNAcentral. Lineage: Eukaryota; Metazoa; Chordata; Lepidosauria; Squamata; Lacertidae.
UCAUGUAGCCUUUGAUUAUUCUUACAUUGUAUGUUUUUACUGAACAAUACCAUAUUUCCGUGACUCCUGGGUAUGGAAGAGCCAGCAUUCCAAAGCCAACGUUUGAAGAUAUCAUUUAGUUUUGCUUUUGUCAUUCUGAUUUGUACUAGGUCAGCCAGCAAAAGGUAUGCCAGAUAGAAAAAAAUAAAUAAAGUACAUCUUUAUGAAAUAUCGGUUGGGGGAUAUUGGAAAAGGCCUAGCCGUUCUAAUCCUUUGUGCUUCCUCUUUCUCCCUUAGCAUCCAUCUUUCAUUAUUUCCCGUAGUCUCUUGAAAGUAAAUAUAAGAGUUGAGCCUAAUUCCUCCUACUUGUGAUUUCUGAGGUGUGACUCAGCAGAUUUUUCUUUGUUGUGAGGCUGAGUGAAGGGGAACGGAAUAUAAUACUCUUAUGGAAAACGGCAGUGGAAUUUCAUGGUGGAUAAUAUUUCUCUUUGUUGAAGUUUUAAAGCUGCCUAUCAAAUGCAGUUAUGGAUUAUCUCUCUCUGCUUCAGAACUACCCAAACACGUGAUUCUCAGAGCGGGAGGUGGGUCUGCCUAAAGAGACAUGAGCGCUAUUAGACAGGGACUAUGAGCUUCCACUUUCCCUACUACCUUUCUUCAAUUUUGGCUGUAUUCUUAGAGCUGGUCUAUAAUCACUUUUACCAAAGAGCUCAACAUCCCCUUGGUGACCCUCUCCACACACCAGCUGUAUUGUGAACCUGAACUCUUUGCAUGAAUUGGAGGCCACCACAAAGAGUUUUCCCUGCUAUUACUGUCAGCCGCCAUUGGAGAGGAUCAGGAGCGAUGGCUUCAAGACCCAUUGAAAUUAAUGGACCCAAGUUAAUCAUGUUCAUUAGUUUUGAUGGGUUGUAUCCGACACUAGGCUACUCUGAAUAAAACUUAGUUGUAUACAACCCAAAGGGAUCUACUCUGAGUAGGACUAGCCAAUUAAGAAUUAAAAAGCAAAACAAAUUCUGCAAAAUCAAUUAAAUGGUUAUGAAACAGUCUCACUAAACUUAAGUAGAAACAAUUAGAUGAUGAAUUGAGUGGUGUAUUACUUUUGUCAUUGGUUUCCCUGAUUGCAUAUGCAAAUAUACUAUACUACAUUGGAAGACUAAUUUUGGAGGAAACAGACAGGGUGAGGGUGGUUCAGAAGGAAGAUGGGAUAAGCAUCUGAUUGCACAAGGCAAACACUUAUCUCACUACAUUGUGACUACAUGAACAAAGAGUCAGCUGUAGCUGGGAAUGUUAUCUCCUAUGUGGGUGUCUCAGUGUGAAAAGAUAAUAUGAACUGUAUCAAAUGAUGAAGAAUGGAAGUAAAUGUCUCUUUGGCAGUAAAUGUCUCUUUGGCAGUAAAUGUCUUCAGUUUUAGGAAGAGAUAUUUGGAGUCAGUUUUAGACAACUGUGAUGAAGACUCCGAGUUUUAAGGAUAGAAAGUUUUAAGGAUAGAAAUUCAUUUUGACACAUACCUCCCCUAUUUAGCUUUAUUUUAUCCUAACAUUGAAUUGUUAGCUUUAGCAAAACAAGCAUAAAAAAUCAUUAUAAGUAGACUUCUUUGUGGAGUUUAAAAUUUGUUCUCUUUGAUUUGUUUGCUUUUGGUAUAAAAUUCUACUCUAUUCUACUCACUGCUAUCUUUUUCUAAAGAUGCCCAGUGUCAACAGACACAUUACCAGUGAAAUGGGAAAACUUUUUUCAGAUUCCUAUACUGUAUCUGAGAAAUAUAUAUUUCUGCACACUACCCUGAUUUCCCAGGGUACAUGUUUCCUUUGGAAUGAAGCACAGAAGGAAACACGGUUUAUUUCAAAGUCAGUAGGAUACCAAUAAUUUUAUUUGCAACCUGCCUUCCUAAAUUCCAACAUUGAGUUUGUCUCCUUUCUUGAUGUUGCAAACAGAGUUGAAUACACAAGUCUAAGAACGUUCAGUGGAGUCCAUAGGCAUAGUAACCUCUGCUUCCAAGUAUGAGUCUUUGUUAUGUACUGAGUUGAAUAGGAUCCAAACUGCAGCAGUCUGAUUGGUCCUAGAACAAUAGGAUCCAAAAUGCAGCAGUCUGAUUGGUCCUAGAACAAUAGGAUUCAGAAUGCAGCUGUCUGAUUGGUCCUAGAACAAUGCAGCAGUAUGAUUGGUUGGCAGGAACCACCCAAUCAUGCUCCAGAUAGAAGUGAAUUCACAACCUGAUUGAAUUCUGGAAUUAGCCAAUCAUGUGCGGCCCAUUGUGUAAAUAAUGUAUGUAAAGCAGAUACUGUGAGGGGACUUUCAUUCAUUCCUCCUCACCACUAUGAGCUGAAUAAAGAGCAUGAAAUCAC